GCGGAUGGCCGGAUGACCGCGGGCGGGCAACCGUCCGAGGAAAGUCCGGACUCCAUGAAGCAAGGGUGCCGGGUAACGCCCGGCGGGGGCAACCCCAGGGAAAGCGCCACAGAGAACAGACCGCCCGGCAUGCCGGGCAAGGGUGAAACGGUGGGGUAAGAGCCCACCGCGGACCGGGCAACCGGGACGGCACGGCAAGCCCCACCCGGAGCAAUGCCGAAUAGGGGCCCCACGCGGAAAGGUCCGGGCCAUCAGCCGCAAGGCUGCCGGAAACCUCCGCGGGGACGCUUCAGCCCAGGGGCCCGGGUUGGCAGCUUGACCGCCGCGGCAACGCGGUCGGCAGAGGAAUGGUCAUCCAGGGGGGCAACCCCCGGACAGAAUCCGGCUUACAGGCCAUCCGCGCAA
This 405-nucleotide RNase P RNA is filed under the name Rhodobacterales bacterium. Its description in RNAcentral is "RNase P RNA component class A". It matches the Rfam family "Bacterial RNase P class A". From Rfam's summary of the family: Ribonuclease P (RNase P) is a ubiquitous endoribonuclease, found in archaea, bacteria and eukarya as well as chloroplasts and mitochondria. The record is from RNAcentral. Lineage: Bacteria; Pseudomonadati; Pseudomonadota; Alphaproteobacteria; Rhodobacterales.